Molecule: ribosomal RNA, 125 nt
Filed under: Chaetothyriales sp.
Lineage: Eukaryota; Fungi; Ascomycota; Eurotiomycetes; Chaetothyriales
Description: partial small subunit ribosomal RNA
Rfam family: Eukaryotic small subunit ribosomal RNA
Source: RNAcentral
CCUUUGUACACACCGCCCGUCGCUACUACCGAUUGAAUGGCUCAGUGAGGCCUUGGGACUGGCUCAGAGAGGUCGGCAACGACCACUCAGAGCCGGAAACUUGGUCAAACUUGGUCAUUUAGAGG